Molecule: long non-coding RNA, 1480 nt
Organism: Ictidomys tridecemlineatus (thirteen-lined ground squirrel)
Lineage: Eukaryota; Metazoa; Chordata; Mammalia; Rodentia; Sciuridae
Source: RefSeq, a predicted model, not a curated record
CUCUGGUGAGCAAGCUCCCUGCCCCCCCUCUCACUUCCCGGUGUCACCUUCUGAGCAGCUUGUCCCCUCUCCUCCAGGUCCUUUUACCACGCUCUUCUGCCUACCUUAGGUCCAGAAUCAUGGAGUCAGCUGACCACGGACUGAACCUCUGAAACCAUAAGCCAAAAUGAACGUUUCCUCCUGUAAGUUCUUGUCAGGUCUUUGGCCACAGUGAAGAAAAAGCUGACUGCACCCAAGAACCCUUCCCUCCAUAAGCCACCGUACACUCCCUCCCACCUGGGGAACCGUGCCCGCCACGGAGAACUCCUGCUCCCUCCUCCCAGCUGGAGCUGGAGAUGCCGUUCACCAGCUGCGCCCACUCUCCAGUGCCCAGUCCAGACUCCACUCCACUUCCCUGCACCCUCCUCAGAAAUCACCGGAACAAGCCCAAGUCCUAGGAAGUCUCCGCCCACUCCCUGGGGCGGGUAUGUCAGCAAGCGAGCGCAGUGGCCCAGCAUUUCCGGACACAGCUGUGCUCCCGUGACACUGGACCAGGGGCUUCAGCAACACAAGGGGGAUGAGGUUUGCCCAGGCUCCUUGCUGCCGUAGACCUCUGCUCAGUCACUGCAGCAUAUCGGAGGCCCCCGGAGUUUCUGCGGGUUCAAAGCUCUGUUGCUCACCAUGUGACUGGUGUGAUGUUUGUCUGUGACGGAGAGCCUGUGGGGAAGAUGUUAAUAGUUCUGUCCCUUGAGCUAGACCUGAAGUUCGGGAGUUCAGAAGUCUUGUCAGACCAAGAUCCUGUGACUAUGGUGAGGACGGUGAGAAGAGCUGCAGCCACCUCAGCCUCCUCUGUGUGCCCUGCUUCCUCCUCCACACCUCCUCGGACCUUGCACACCUCCCAUGUCCAGAAUUAUGAUCUCGGUGGGAAACAGAUGCCCACACCACCUGGUGUAUGGACCAAAAUGGGUCUAAAUGCAUUUUUCCACUCCUGGGCCUCUGUGAAGGACCUCUAGGUCCAAGGAUCCCAUGGAGAGGAAAACCAGAGAACUCAGACUUGUGGGCAUGUCACUCUCUCAGAGUUCUGUCAGUCAGAGCACAUGGUGAUGAGCCCAGGAAAUGCAGACCCUCGGCUUAGAAUGGCUACGGGAACGACGCUGAAAAGAUUCUAAAGCAAGGAAAGCGCAGAGCUGUCACACUGGCAAAGGCAGUGCUGAGGUUGGAACCCAGGGCCUCACAUGUGCUAGGCAAAUGCCUACCACUGAGCUACAACUACAGCCCCGACUUUAUGCCUUUUAAUGGUCAGGGGCCAGCUCCACCUUAAGGUAAGUCAGAAUGGACACAGUGUGAUCCUGUGCGGAGCUAAGUAGUGCUGGGUGGGAAGCCACAGCUCAGGUGCCCCAGGUCAUUCUGUCAUGGCUCUGGCUUUCUGGUGUGGCUAGUGAACAGUUCUACAGGGGGUGUGGGGCCCACCUCAAGAGUCAGCCUCACCUCUUGGCCUCAG